AUGGAGGAUGACGCAUCCUACUUUAUGCUAGUGCUAGCUCUGGUUCCUCUUGUGUACAUCAUUCGGUUCUACUACCUAGCUUCCUCUCGUUGUCACAACCGUGGCCUACGGCUCCCUCCAGGCCCAUGGCAGCUACCUGUGAUCGGCAGUCUCCACCAUCUUUUUGGCGCCCUCCCACACCGUGCAUUACGAGACCUAUCAAGGCGACACGGCCCUCUCAUGCUCCUCAUGUUCGGCACGAACCGGCCGGUCAUCGUCGUUUCCACCGCCAAGGCUGCCAAGGAGAUGAUGAAGACGCACGAUACCACCUUCUGCGCGAGGCCACUGACCUCAGCUCUCAAGGCCAUUAGCAAGCAUGGCCUGGGGAUCGUCUUCGCCCCGUACGGUGACCACUGGCGACAAAUGCGCAAGAUCUGCUUCCUCGAGCUGCUGAGUGCCAAGCGCAUCGCCACGUUCAGCUCCAUAAGGGGAGAGGAGACGGACAGAUUCAUCCGGUCCAUCGUGGCAACGCUAGAGCCGGUCGUGAAUCUGAGCGAGUUGCUGGCGGCGUACCUGACAGACACAACGGUGCACAUGAUCAUGGGUGGACAGUUCACGGAGCAGGAGACCUUGCUCCGGCACGUCGACGAGGCGGUGGGGAUUGUAAGCGGCGUCGCCCUGCCCGACCUGUUCCCGUCGUCGAGGCUGGCGCGCGCUCUGAGCACCACACUGCGCAGUGCCGAGGUGUUCCGAGAGGCCUUUUUAGCGUUGAUGGGCCAUGCCAUAGAUGAUCAUCUGGAGAGCAGGAGGAGCGCUUCUUCCUCUGAACAAGUAGACCAGGAAGACAUCAUCGAUGUGCUCUUGAGGGUGCAGGGAGAAGGCAACCUUGAGCCACCCCUCACCAUGAACAACAUCAAAGCAGUUGUCUUCGACCUUCUUGCAGGGGGGACAGAGACAACAUCGACAACGCUACAGUGGGCCAUGGCAGAGCUGAUGCGAAACCCAAGCAUCAUGACCAGGGCGCAAGAUGAGGUCAGGGGAGCCUUCAUGGGACAAAACAAGGUCACUGAAGAGUGUCUAGGUGAGCUGAGCUACUUGCAAUGCAUCAUCAAGGAGACCUUGCGGCUGCACCCUCCUGGGCCGUUAGUACCAAGGGAGUGCAGAGAGCAGUGCAGAAUACUCGGCUACGACGUGCCCAAAGGAACCACCAUUCUCGUCAAUGUUUGGGCCAUCUCUAGAGACCCGGAAUGCUGGGAUGAGCCCGAAGAAUUCGUGCCAGAGAGGUUUGUGGCGAGUGCCAGAGAUUUCAAAGGCAACAGCUUCGAGUUCAUACCAUUCGGCACCGGUCGUCGGAUCUGCCCCGGGAUGCUGUUUGGGCUUGCUACUAUUGAGCUAGCUCUUGCAAGCCUUCUGUUUCAUUUUGAUUGGAGUCUCCCUGAUGGCACUCUUCCUAGUGAACUGGACAUGACAGAAACCAUGGGAGUGGCGGCUAGGAAAAAGGUGCCUCUGUGGUUGCGUCCAACUCCCCAUGUAUAUUUGCCUUGCUGA
This 1527-nucleotide ribosomal RNA is filed under the name Triticum aestivum (bread wheat). RNAcentral's name for it is "partial small subunit ribosomal RNA". Lineage: Eukaryota; Viridiplantae; Streptophyta; Magnoliopsida; Poales; Poaceae. The record is from RNAcentral.